GAGAAAAAUCUUACUUUUUACUGCAAAAUUAAAAAUGGUAAAACAGAAGAAAUAGAUAAAAAUAUUAGCCUCACCAAGGAAAAUAUUCAAAGGCAAGCUAACAUAUGAAAGAUGCUCUUGGGGCUGGUGUUGUGGCAUAGUGCUGGUAAAGCCACUGGCUGCAUUGCCAGUUUCCCAUAGGGGUACUAAUUUGAGUCCCGGCUACUCCACUUUGGGUGCAGCUCCCUGCUAAUGGCCUGCAAAAAACAAUGGAAGAUGGCCCAAGUAUUUGGGCCUCUGCCAAUCAUAUGAGAGAUACAGAUGAAGUUCCUGGCUUUGGCUUGGCUCAGCCCCGGCUAUUGUGGCCAUCUGGGGAAUGAACCAGAGGUUGGAAAGUUUCUCCCUGUCUCUCUGAAUUUGUUUCUGUAACUGACCUUCAAAUAAAUAAAUCUUACCACGUUAAAAAAAAAAUUAGGCUUUUGUAUUAACUUCUUGGAUAAUAUAAAAUUGAAAAAGAAUCAGAGAUUGCUUUGCCUUUUUUCCUUCAAGUUUUAAUUUUUUAAAAUUUUAUUUUAUUUUAUUGAAAGGCACUUUCAGCCCCAGCCAGGGGCCAUUGCUGGCAUGUGGGGAGUGAACCAGCAAUAGGAGUUCUCUCUCAUUUUUUUUUCACUUUCUCCUCUCAAAUAAAUUUAAAAAAUUAAAAGGAGUACAGCUCAGUGGACAUAACAAUGUUUCAGAGAUUUGAGAAGAAUAUAGUCUUUGGGAAGGAGCUAGAUUUCAGCCAUUAUUUAUGAGCCACUCAAUAAUGACACAGAGGAACUCCGAAUAACUUCAGUAUCCAUCAUUAUUUUCUUUGAAGGAGGUUCAUCUUCUGGGGAAACAAACUCCCUGAAAUGUGGUGCUUUCUGUUUUAUUUCACCAGAUGGGUGGAAGGGUGGUCCACAUCAACUUUGUGCAGCUUUCCAAACAAGAUCAGAGAAUGAAGGAGAUUGCUUUAUUAGCUGCUGCUUAUGGACUCAUAAAGACCACUUUGUGAGGACUAAUUUAAAAUAUCUGAAGAAUAAAAAAAGACAAGUCCCAUGGCAAUGAAAAGAAUUGUAGGUGUUUAUGAGCAGAUGAGAAGGAUAACAGAGGAAGAGAGGAUGAAGCAACACCCCAGGAUAUGAGAUAAGGGGUCUGCAAGGAUUGAAGUCACUAAGUUGCCUUGAAGAGCCCCAGAGAAUCUUUGGACUUAGGGCUAAACAUUAGUCCAAGAUGUGGAAUAGUCAGCUUGUAGGAGUUCUACAAAGAUGAAACACUUGUCAUACAAGAAGGGAAUUUUUAAAUAAAUAGUUUGCCCAGAGCUAAAGGGAGAUCUUC
This 1338-nucleotide long non-coding RNA is filed under the name Oryctolagus cuniculus (rabbit). RNAcentral's name for it is "lncRNA (ENSOCUG00000036963.1)". The record is from RNAcentral. Lineage: Eukaryota; Metazoa; Chordata; Mammalia; Lagomorpha; Leporidae.